AAAAAGACAAACCUUGGUUUCCGUGUCCAACGUUUGACCGUCCAUCUUAUUUGAAAAAAUUAUGAAAAAAUUAAAAAGACAAGUCAAACAUAAAAUAUUAAUUAUAUUUUAUCAUCUAACAAUAAUAAAAAUACAAAUUAUUCAUAUAAGACGGACAGUUAAAAUUGAACACGGAAACUCAGGAUUUGUUUUUUU
Molecule: microRNA precursor, 195 nt
Filed under: Oryza nivara
Lineage: Eukaryota; Viridiplantae; Streptophyta; Magnoliopsida; Poales; Poaceae
Description: MIR812 microRNA precursor family
Rfam family: MIR812 microRNA precursor family
Source: Rfam by way of RNAcentral